Molecule: ribosomal RNA, 911 nt
Filed under: uncultured bacterium
Lineage: Bacteria
Description: bacterial SSU rRNA
Rfam family: Bacterial small subunit ribosomal RNA
Source: RNAcentral
GAGUUUGAUCCUGGCUCAGGAUGAACGCUAGCGGCAGGCCUAACACAUGCAAGUCGAACGGUAACAGGAAGUAGCUGCUACUUCGCUGACGAGUGGCGCACGGGUGCGUAACGCGUAUACAAUCUACCUUUUACAGGGGGAUAGCCUUUGGAAACGAAGAAUAAUACCCCAUGGCAAGUAACUUUCGCAUGGAAAUUACUUUAAAGAUUUACCGGUAAAAGAUGAGUAUGCGUCCUAUUAGCUAGAUGGUGUGGUAACGGCACACCAUGGCAACGAUAGGUAGGGGCCCUGAGAGGGGGAUCCCCCACACUGGUACUGAGACACGGACCAGACUCCUACGGGAGGCAGCAGUGAGGAAUAUUGGACAAUGGGCGCGAGCCUGAUCCAGCCAUGCCGCGUGCAGGAAGACUGCCCUAUGGGUUGUAAACUGCUUUUAUACGGGAAGAAACACCUCUUCGUGAAGAGGCUUGACGGUACCGUAAGAAUAAGGAUCGGCUAACUCCGUGCCAGCAGCCGCGGUAAUACGGAGGAUCCAAGCGUUAUCCGGAAUCAUUGGGUUUAAAGGGUCCGUAGGUGGACAAUUAAGUCAGGGGUGAAAGUCUGCGGCUCAACCGUAGAAUUGCCUUUGAUACUGGUUGUCUUGAAUCAUUGUGAAGUGGUUAGAAUAUGUAGUGUAGCGGUGAAAUGCAUAGAUAUUACAUAGAAUACCGAUUGCGAAGGCAGAUCACUAACAAUGUAUUGACACUGAUGGACGAAAGCGUGGGGAGCGAACAGGAUUAGAUACCCUGGUAGUCCACGCCGUAAACGAUGGUCACUAGCUGUUCGGACUUCGGUCUGAGUGGCUAAGCGAAAGUGAUAAGUGACCCACCUGGGGAGUACGUUCGCAAGAAUGAAACUCAAAGGAAUGACGG